RNAcentral lists this ribosomal RNA (452 nucleotides) under uncultured Acidithiobacillus sp. RNAcentral describes it as "bacterial SSU rRNA". It matches the Rfam family "Bacterial small subunit ribosomal RNA", at positions 89 to 537 of the family's 1533-position model. The record is from RNAcentral. Lineage: Bacteria; Pseudomonadati; Pseudomonadota; Acidithiobacillia; Acidithiobacillales; Acidithiobacillaceae.
UGACGAGUGGCGGACGGGUGAGUAAUGCGUAGGAAUCUGUCUUUGAGUGGGGGACAACCCAGGGAAACUUGGGCUAAUACCGCAUAAGCCCUGAGGGGGAAAGCGGGGGAUCUUCGGACCUCGCGCUGGAAGAGGAGCCUACGUCUGAUUAGCUAGUUGGUAGGGUAAAGGCCUACCAAGGCGACGAUCGGUAGCUGGUCUGAGAGGACGACCAGCCACACUGGGACUGAGACACGGCCCAGACUCCUACGGGAGGCAGCAGUGGGGAAUUUUUCGCAAUGGGGGCAACCCUGACGAAGCAAUGCCGCGUGAAUGAAGAAGGCCUUCGGGUUGUAAAGUUCUUUCGUGGAGGACGAAAAGGUGGGUGCUAAUAUCNCCUGCUGUUGACGUGAAUCCAAGAAGAAGCACCGGCUAACUCCGUGCCAGCCGCCGCGGUAAUUCAANGGCGAAUU